Molecule: ribosomal RNA, 253 nt
Filed under: uncultured bacterium
Lineage: Bacteria
Description: partial 16S ribosomal RNA
Rfam family: Bacterial small subunit ribosomal RNA
Source: RNAcentral
UACGUAGGGUGCAAGCGUUGUCCGGAAUUAUUGGGCGUAAAGAGCUCGUAGGCGGUUUGUCGCGUCUGCUGUGAAAACUCGGGGCUUAACUCCGGGCCUGCAGUGGGUACGGGCAGACUAGAGUGCGGUAGGGGAGACUGGAAUUCCUGGUGUAGCGGUGAAAUGCGCAGAUAUCAGGAGGAACACCGAUUGCGAAGGCAGCUCGCUGGAACGUUACUGACGCUGAGACGCGAAAGCGUGGGGAGCAAACAGG